GUUUGCUUCAACAACACAUACUAAAAUUGGAGAGACACAGCCAUAUAUUAGAAUGGCUCCUGUGUAAGGAUGACAUACAAAUUUGUGGUGCAUUCCUAUUUUUU
RNAcentral lists this small nuclear RNA (104 nucleotides) under Neotoma lepida (desert woodrat). The record is from RNAcentral. Lineage: Eukaryota; Metazoa; Chordata; Mammalia; Rodentia; Cricetidae.